This is a long non-coding RNA of Heterocephalus glaber (naked mole-rat), 758 nucleotides long. The record is from Ensembl. NCBI's taxonomy places the organism in Eukaryota, Metazoa, Chordata, Mammalia, Rodentia, Bathyergidae.
AUAUUUUCAGGCAGCUAUUGAGCUUUUCUAGAGGAAGAGCUGAUGAAAAGAGUCACAGCUGAAUAGUGGAGAGAAAAAGCCCGGUAUUUAUUGCUUUUGUUUGGCUUUUGGCUACAGAGACAGGAACCUUCUAAUGGGCCACCUCGUUCCACACUACAAAGACCCAGAGGACACCGGACCACCAGACCACUGUACUGGAAUUGACAGUGCAGUGAAGCUCUGGUCCAGUGGAGUAGAACACCUGCAGACCCACAGGUGAAGAGAGAGGGACCAAGGGAUGAAGGCCCUGGAAGAGUAAAAACAGAGUAAAGUUUUACAGAGUAAAACAGUACAAGAAAGAAUCACAUACUGUAAUUGAUCCACCAUGGAACUCAGCAGAGGAAAUCAUCACAAGAUCCAUCACAUUGUGAGCAAAGACAUGAGAGACAUAUGAAAGAUUCUGGGUAUAAAAGCACCCAGGAGAAGGCUGGCACUCAACUCGUCACUUCCUCUUUCCCUUUCCUGCAUCCUUUUCCUGUCAGGCUGGAUAAAGAAGAUGGCAAAGAUAAAGGAGCUCCAGUCAUCUCCUUCACCUUGGACAUACAUCUUCUGGCUAUCAUCUCAGACCAUUCAGCCUUCCAUUGCAGGCCCUUCAGCUUCCUGAUGUGGACUCAUAUAGGACACUACAGUGAGCUCCAGGUUUUGGGCUUUUUCUGGAUCUUUGGAAUCUCCAGCAUGCAGACAGCCCUUUUUCACUCGUCCACACCUGGCUCUGCAGG